RNAcentral lists this ribosomal RNA (457 nucleotides) under uncultured bacterium. RNAcentral's name for it is "SSU rRNA". It matches the Rfam family "Bacterial small subunit ribosomal RNA", at positions 26 to 518 of the family's 1533-position model. The record is from RNAcentral.
AGAAUCAACGCUGGCGGCGUGCCUAACACAUGCAAGUCGAACGGGAAAGUGGAGCAAUCCAUGAGUAUAGUGGCGACCGGGUGAGUAACACGUGACUACCUACCCUUGAGUGGGGGAUAACCUCGGGAAACCGAGGCUAAUACCGCAUAAUAUCGAAAGAUCAAAGGAGUAAUCCGCUUUUGGAGGGGUCGCGGCUGAUUAGCUAGUUGGUAAGGUAAUGGCUUACCAAGGCGAAGAUCGGUAUCCGGCCUGAGAGGGCGCACGGACACACUGGAACUGAAACACGGUCCAGACUCCUACGGGAGGCAGCAGUGGGGAAUUUGCGCAAUGGGGGAAACCCUGACGCAGCAACGCCGCGUGGAGGAUGAAGCCCCUUGGGGUGUAAACUCCUUUCGACUGGGAAGAUUAUGACGGUACCAGUGGAAGAAGCACCGGCUAACUCUGCGCCAGCAGCCGC